This 515-nucleotide ribosomal RNA is filed under the name uncultured archaeon. RNAcentral describes it as "bacterial SSU rRNA". It matches the Rfam family "Archaeal small subunit ribosomal RNA", at positions 341 to 856 of the family's 1478-position model. The record is from RNAcentral.
GCGAAAACUUCGCAAUGAGCGCAAGCUCGACGAGGUGAACCCGAGUGCCCUUCGUUUUGACGGAGGGCUUUUGCCUACCGUAAAAAGGUAGGUGAAUAAGGGUCUGGGCAAGUCCGGUGCCAGCCGCCGCGGUAAUACCGGCGGCCCAAGUGGUAGCCCUCAUUAUUGGGCCUAAAACAUCCGUAGCCGGGUAGGUAAAUCUCUGGGGAAAUCGCCAGGUGAACCUGGCGUAACCCAGAGACACUGCCUAUCUUGGGGACGGGAGACGCCGGAGGAAUCCUAGGGGUAGGGGUGAAAUCCUGUAAUCCCUAGGGGACCACCUGAGGCAAAAGCGUCCGGCUAGAACGUUCCCGACGGUGAGGGAUGAAGGCCAGGGGCGCAAACCGGAUUAGAUACCCGGGUAGUCCUGGCCGUAAACGCUGAGGACUAGGCAUUGGGAAGUCGUAAGGCUCCUCAGUGCCGUAGCGAAGGUGUUAAGUCCUCCGCCUGGGGAGUACGGCCGCAAGGCUGAAACU